CCUACGGGAGGCAGCAGUGGGGAAUUUUGGACAAUGGACGCAAGUCUGAUCCAGCCAUGCCGCGUGUGGGAAGAAGGCCUUCGGGUUGUAAACCACUUUUGUCAGGGAAGAAACGGCUCUUACUAAUAUUAGGAGCUAAUGACGGUACCUGAAGAAUAAGCACCGGCUAACUACGUGCCAGCAGCCGCGGUAAUACGUAGGGUGCAAGCGUUAAUCGGAAUUACUGGGCGUAAAGCGUGCGCAGGCGGUUAUGCAAGACAGAUGUGAAAUCCCCGGGCUCAACCUGGGAACUGCAUUUGUGACUGCAUAGCUAGAGUACGGUAGAGGGGGAUGGAAUUCCGCGUGUAGCAGUGAAAUGCGUAGAUAUGCGGAGGAACACCGAUGGCGAAGGCAAUCCCCCUGGACCUGUACUGACGCUCAUGCACGAAAGCGUGGGGAGCAAACAGGAUUAGAUACCCUGGUAGUCCACGCCCUAAACCGAUGUCAACUGGUUGUUGGGAGGGUUUCUUCUCAGUACGUAGCUAACGCGUGAAGUUGACCGCCUGGGGAGUCGGCGCAGUUGAACUUAAGGAAUUG
This 576-nucleotide ribosomal RNA is filed under the name uncultured bacterium. Its description in RNAcentral is "bacterial SSU rRNA". It matches the Rfam family "Bacterial small subunit ribosomal RNA", at positions 338 to 912 of the family's 1533-position model. The record is from RNAcentral.